UACGUAGGGGGCAAGCGUUGUCCGGAUUUAUUGGGCGUAAAGAGCGUGUAGGCGGCCUGACAGGUCUGCUGUGAAAACUCGAGGCUCAACCUCGAGAUGUCGGCGGAAACCAUCUGGCUAGAGUCCGGAAGAGGAGAGUGGAAUUCCUGGUGUAGCGGUGAAAUGCGCAGAUAUCAGGAAGAACACCUGUGGCGAAGGCGGCUCUCUGGGACGGUACUGACGCUGAGACGCGAAAGCGUGGGGAGCGAACAGG
RNAcentral lists this ribosomal RNA (253 nucleotides) under uncultured bacterium. RNAcentral's name for it is "partial 16S ribosomal RNA". It matches the Rfam family "Bacterial small subunit ribosomal RNA", at positions 524 to 776 of the family's 1533-position model. The record is from RNAcentral.